This 242-nucleotide ribosomal RNA is filed under the name uncultured bacterium. Its description in RNAcentral is "partial 16S ribosomal RNA". It matches the Rfam family "Bacterial small subunit ribosomal RNA", at positions 100 to 334 of the family's 1533-position model. The record is from RNAcentral.
CGGAGUGGGCGGGACGGGUGAGUAAUGUCGGGGAAACCGCCCGAUGGAGGGGGAUAACUACUGGAAACGGUAGCUAAUACCGCAUAACGUCGCAAGACCAAAGAGGGGGACCUUCGGGCCUCUUGCCAUCGGAUGUGCCCAGAUGGGAUUAGCUAGUAGGUGGGGUAACGGCUCACCUAGGCGACGAUCCCUAGCUGGUCUGAGAGGAUGACCAGCCACACUGGAACUGAGACACGGUCCAG